UCUGACCUACGGGGCGCAGCAGUGAGGAAUAUUGGUCAAUGGGCGCGAGCCUGAACCAGCCAAGUCGCGUGAAUGAAGAAGGCCUUCGGGUUGUAAAAUUCUGUUAUAAGGGAAGAAAGGUGAUAGGAGGAAAUGACUAUCAAUUGACGGUACCUUAUGAGAAAGCCACGGCUAACUACGUGCCAGCAGCCGCGGUAAUACGUAGGUGGCAAGCGUUAUCCGGAAUUAUUGGGCGUAAAGAGCGCGCAGGUGGUUAAUUAAGUCUGAUGUGAAAGCCCACGGCUUAACCGUGGAGGGUCAUUGGA
RNAcentral lists this ribosomal RNA (305 nucleotides) under uncultured bacterium. Its description in RNAcentral is "bacterial SSU rRNA". It matches the Rfam family "Bacterial small subunit ribosomal RNA", at positions 333 to 630 of the family's 1533-position model. The record is from RNAcentral.